GUGUCAGCCGCCGCGGUAAUACCAGCUCUCCGAGUGGUGGGGACGUUUAUUGGGCCUAAAGCAUCCGUAGCCAGCUGAGCAAGUCCCCAGUUAAAUCCAGCGAUUUAAUCGUUGGACUGCUGGGGAUACUGUCCGGCUAGGGGGUGGGAGAGGCCGACGGUAUUCCCGGGGUAGGGGUGAAAUCCUAUAAUCCCGGGAGGACCACCAGUGGCGAAGGCUGUUGGCUAAAACAUGCCCGACGGUGAGGGAUGAAAGCUGGGGGAGCGAACCGGAUUAGAUACCCGGGUAGUCCCAGCUGUAAACGAUGCAGGCUAGGUGUUAGGGCGGCCACGUGCCGCUCUAGUGCCGCAGGGAAGCUGUUAAGCCUGCCGCCUGGGGAGUACGGCCGCAAGGCUGAAACUUAAAGGAAUUGACGGGG
RNAcentral lists this ribosomal RNA (418 nucleotides) under uncultured prokaryote. Its description in RNAcentral is "bacterial SSU rRNA". It matches the Rfam family "Archaeal small subunit ribosomal RNA", at positions 455 to 873 of the family's 1478-position model. The record is from RNAcentral.